CACACGACUCUCGGCAACGGAUAUCUCGGCUCUCGCAUCGAUGAAGAACGUAGCGAAAUGCGAUACCUGGUGUGAAUUGCAGAAUCCCGCGAACCAUCGAGUCUUUGAAGGCAAGUUGCGCCCGAGGCCACUCGGCCGAGGGCACGCCUGCCUGGGCGUCACGC
Molecule: ribosomal RNA, 164 nt
Filed under: Anthosachne rectiseta
Lineage: Eukaryota; Viridiplantae; Streptophyta; Magnoliopsida; Poales; Poaceae
Description: 5.8S ribosomal RNA
Rfam family: 5.8S ribosomal RNA
About the family: 5.8S ribosomal RNA (5.8S rRNA) is a component of the large subunit of the eukaryotic ribosome. It is transcribed by RNA polymerase I as part of the 45S precursor that also contains 18S and 28S rRNA. Functionally, it is thought that 5.8S rRNA may be involved in ribosome translocation.
Source: RNAcentral